GAUGAACGCUAGCGGCAGGCUUAACACAUGCAAGUCGAGGGGUAGAAGGAGCUUGCUCCUUUGAGACCGGCGCACGGGUGCGUAACGCGUAUGCAAUCUACCUUUUGCAGAGGGAUAGCCCAGAGAAAUUUGGAUUAAUACCUCAUAGUAUGUGAGGAUGGCAUCAUUUUCACAUUAAAGUCACAAACGGCAAAAGAUGAGCAUGCGUCCCAUUAGCUAGUUGGUAAGGUAACGGCUUACCAAGGCUACGAU
RNAcentral lists this ribosomal RNA (252 nucleotides) under uncultured bacterium. Its description in RNAcentral is "partial 16S ribosomal RNA". It matches the Rfam family "Bacterial small subunit ribosomal RNA", at positions 28 to 280 of the family's 1533-position model. The record is from RNAcentral.